GAUGAACGCUGGCGGCGUGCCUAAUACAUGCAAGUAGAACGCUGAAGGAGGAGCUUGCUCUUCUGGAUGAGUUGCGAACGGGUGAGUAACGCGUAGGUAACCUGCCUGGUAGCGGGGGAUAACUAUUGGAAACGAUAGCUAAUACCGCAUGACAACAGUUAUUGCAUGAUAACUGUUUAAAAGGGGCAACUGCUCCACUACCAGAUGGACCUGCGUUGUAUUAGCUAGUUGGUGAGGUAACGGCUCACCAAGGCGACGAUACAUAGCCGACCUGAGAGGGGGGUCGGCCACCCUGGGAAUGGGACACGGCCCAGACUCCCACGGGAAGGAGCCAGAGGGAAUCUUCGGCAAUGGGCGGAAGUCUGACCGCACAACGCCGCGUGAGGGAACAAGGUUUUCGGGUCGUAAAGCUCUGUUUUAAGGGAAGAACGAGUGUGAGAGUGGAAAGUUCACACUGUGACGGUAUCUUACCAGAAAGGGACGGCUAACUACGUG
Molecule: ribosomal RNA, 495 nt
Filed under: uncultured bacterium
Lineage: Bacteria
Description: partial 16S ribosomal RNA
Rfam family: Bacterial small subunit ribosomal RNA
Source: RNAcentral